Molecule: ribosomal RNA, 253 nt
Filed under: uncultured bacterium
Lineage: Bacteria
Description: partial 16S ribosomal RNA
Rfam family: Bacterial small subunit ribosomal RNA
Source: RNAcentral
GCAAGUAGAACGGUAACAGGAAUAGCUUGCUCUGCGCUGACGAUUUGCGAACGGGUGCGUAACUCGUAUGCAACCUACCCUUAACAGGGGGAUAGCCUUCCGAAAGGAAGAAUAAUAUCCCAUAAUAUAUAGAAAUGGCAUCGUUUUUAUAUUAAAGCUCCGGCGGUUAAGGAUGGGCAUGCGUGUCAUUAGCUAGUUGGUGAGGUAACGGCUCACCAAGGCAACGAUGACUAGGGGUUCUGAGAGGAUUAUC